AGCAGGGGCCGGGAGGCCCCGCGGGGCGCAGGACGGCGUGGAGGGGCGCCCGCCUGGAGUGCAGUGGGGUCGGUGCGGUGCGGUGUGGCCGCGGGGGCUCCACGGCGCCAUCUGGCGGCGGUCGGGCCUGCGGGCUGCGCGGUCCCAGCUCUAGGAAGGAGAGGACGCGCUGGCGUGGGCUGAGACCAGAGCCCACGCGCUGCCCACACGCGCGCGUUCGUCCACGACAGUUGUGUGGGACUCAGGCCCUCUCUUUCGGCCUCCCCUUUCUUUCCUCCCUCUUUCCUUUCCCCUUUUCCUCCCCCCCUCCCCUUUCCUUCCCUUCCAUAUUGAAAAAGUGCUGUUUGGUAAACCUUUGCCUUUAUCAGGUUUCCCAUGGCCUUGUAGGAGCUGCCAUAGUAGUGUGAUGCCGUGUCCCUCCUGUAGAUGUAGGAUGUCACCACGGAGCUCACACCUGUCACAUCGCCGCAUUCCACUCAGGCUGUAUCUCUGUAGUCAGAGCUUCCCCUGCCUGGCAUCUAGUGAGCUGCUGGCUGUCACUCUUACUAGAACUUGAGAGUGACUUCUGAUUUAGCGGAAUGCUCUGGAGCUCCGACCAAGUUACUGUGUAGGCUGUUUUGAAGAAUAAAAGUUUUUACAUUGUGAAAGAAUCCAAGUUACCUGCUUUUCUUCUAAGGUCGUGGUGACAGUUUCACCCUUGUGUACAGAUCUCCAGAGUGAUCAGGAUGUGCCUGGUGAUGUGGGCAGCUUUUUUGCUUACCAGUAAUGCCUCAGCACAGUGGUUAGGCUGACUACUGACUGACCAGCCCUGAAACCCUCUGCUUGGCUGGACCCUCACAUUUCUGGAGAACCAGGAGAGGAUCCCAGGAGUGACACCAAGAGCAGCAGGGCAGUGAGAACCAAGAGCAGAAAACACCUGUGGGGGCCCUGGUAGGUCUGCAAAGACUGCAAGAAGCUGCUGAAAGAAUUCUGGAAAGCUGAGCCGGGUGUGGUGGUGCACACCUGUGAUCCCAGCCCUUGGGAGGCUGAGGCAGGAGAAACACUAUGAGUUUGAGGCCAGAGUGGGCUUCACAGUGAGUUCAAGGGCACCCUGAACUAUAGAGUGAGAUCCUACCUCAAAAAAACAACACAACACAAAUUAGCAGCUGCCAAGGGGUAAGGAGCGCUGGCUGCUGAGGAGCUGAUGGGUGACAGGGCGCUGUGACCCUCAGAGUUGUGGCUCUGAGGGGCACAGUGCUCAGGAGCAAGACCGAGUAGUCUGAGAACGGAGCUGGUCACACCAGGAGAGUGGCUUCUGGUGACCUGAUCUUCUUCUCAGAGACUGGCUCCACCCUGGCAGCAACAGGGACAGAGCCCUCCCUCCAGAGGCCCCCAAGCAGGAGAACAGAUGUGCAAUUUCCAUUCUGCCUGAGGCCAGGAAUCUGCAGAGCUGGUGACCUGGCCUGCAGCCCUCAUUGUCUUUGGAACUUGGGCCCUGUUUUGAGUUGAAGUGUGGUACAGAGAAAGCAUGCAUUGGUCCCCGAGUCCUGUAACCCAGGAUUUGGUUCUGUGUACGCUGAGGGCCUCCUCCAGAGGUGGGCAGGGUUCUCCCAGCAUCCGACACAUGCCCAGCCCCCCUUCCGGUCUUACCAUCCCCUUCUGCCUGCCAGGGACCUCCACCUCAGGCCUCGAUCACCACUGUCGUCUGCCUGUUCCUUGACUUCAUAGCUCUGGAAUCCCUCAGCAUGCUGCGCUCUAUGGGAUUUCUCUUGUUCCUUUCCAGAUGUCCAGGAUUUCUUGUCUGUGUCUCACUGUCUUUGGGCAGUUCCAGGGGGCAGCAGAGGCCUAGGAAACUUGGCCAGAGCACCAGGGUAACAUUUCCAGGCCCAAACAGCCCUGGUGCCUUCCAGGCAUCUCUGGACUUGAGUCCAGAACCAGGGUGCAUGCCCUUGGUUCAGCAAUGUAUUUUGAACGUGCAGCAAACAAAAACUCAUGAGCACGACAUAGUUCAGUGCAAAUGAACAGCAUUUGAAAGAGACAAGAAGAAAGGCUCUGUAUUAUUAGACGAUCCUGCCGUCCCUGUCCCCCAGAUUCCUGGGGUGUCCCCAGUGCAGGUGUCCCCCAGUGGGUGGCCAUAUAGACCUGAGCUGUGCCUUGGGCAGCCCUGCUCCUGUCUGUCCAUGUGGCUCUGUAACUUUGGGUGCUGUUUCUGGUACCCAAGGUGGAGUUUCGGUUCUCACCAUCAAGGGGAUAAAGUCUAAAAGGUUCACGGUAGCCUGUGGUGGUGGUGCAUGCCAGUGAUGGCAGAGGCCUGGGAGGCUGAGGCAGGAGGACUGCAAAUUCCAGCCUAACUUGGGCAAUUUAGAGACCUGGUCUCAAAAAUCAAACCUAGAGUUUUGGGAAAGUGGGGGAGCAGUGAGCAGCAGGGAAAGAACCUCUCCAAGUGUUGGUGUCCAGACCCUUGAAUACAGCAAAGGAGGAAGAGCGAUGACCGGAGCCGCGGGAGGCAGGAGACCAAACUCGAGCAGGAUCAGCUCUCAAACUUUAUUGCGUACAGCAAACCGGACCUAACAAGGUCCGCCACCCUCAACGUUGGUUCCUCUUCUGCCCGUUGGGGGCAGGAACAACCUCUUAUAAGGGGAAGCAGUAUCCAAUCACAGAGAAGCGCGUCUAACAAGCGGAUAGGCUAGCGUCACGGGUAACUGGGCAGACAUGACAAUUUGGCGGGCUUGUUCAGGCCGGGAAGAACCCGGAAGCAGGAAAUGGGCGCCAUCAUAGGCGGCUUCCCACAUCUCCCCCUUUUUUAUUUAUUAAAAUAGGAUGGUCUGUGGGUCCCUCCAAGAUGUCUAUGACCUUGUUGCUGUUAGACACCUAGGAGUGGGCCUACCUUGUAGGCCGAGGCAUGAGAGAAUGUAGAGGUCUAUACCCUGCUGUGCAUUACCCUGUUUUGUACAUAUCCUUGCGCCAGGACCAUGCUCAAGGUGAGUGGUUCAUUUUUUCGCAGGGCCAGGCUUUUGUGAACCGAACCUGGAUGCAUAUAGACAUUCAUUCCUGCCUUCCCCCCAACCUUUGGGGCGGACGGCACUGCAGUACCCUUGGUCUCGCAUCUCAAUGCCAAUAAUUUGACUCUGGGAGGGACCCCUGGCCUUAUAGGCCAUGUAUAUCUGAGUGGAGCCUGUCUUAGGUUGACCGGGAGGGCUUUUCCCGUCUUACCCGUCAUUGGCUUGCCCACUCAGCUCUUAUAGCUGAUGUUCUGCAAUGUGAAGGAGAUAUGCGGCGGCCUGCUGGCCUGCUGGGCCACCUGCUGCCAUUUGCAUGGCUGCCAUAGCUGUGACCUUGACCUGUUGCUGGGUUUGCAUAAGGCGGUCUAACAAGCAUUUGAUAACCACAAGCCCUACUAGGAUAGCCAUGGCAAUUAGGAUCCAAAAAGAGGUAAUCAAGGACUGUUUGAUUGAUGGUGUAAACCCUGGGUGAGGCGGACGAGGCCGCUGAAAAAGGUGCCAAUGUGGGCGGGUGGUGCCAAGGACCCCAAAGAUAUUGUGGUGGUUCUGUGGAAUCUGAGCAUAUCACAGGGGUGAUUAAUAGGAACCCACAGAAUAGAAAAAACUCCAAACCAGACAUUUUAGUUUGUAGAUGGUCUCGGGCGCUGAGCGUCGGUCCCAGAAGGGUCGAGUUGACUUGUGUCCGCGGGCUUAUCCUCCUGUGCUUUAUCAGGAACUGGUGGGGAGUUUACUGCUCGCGUCAAUCUUUCCGGGACCCACAGUGGCUCGCGACCUGGUUCCUGUGGGAAAACACAAACCGCACCUCGGGUCCAGCUAACCACUGGAUCCGGGCCCAUCCAUUGUCCUGUAAGGACAUCUUUCCAUCUAACCAGCCCUUUGUCGGUUGGGGACGGAUUGCUAUGUUCCAUGGCAGGGGAAUGAUUAUGGUAAAGAGUGCCAAUGAUAUUCUUCCUUUGGGCGUUAGGCCAUGGCCUAUUCCCUCCUUUUGUUUUUGUAAGACACCCUUGAGUGUCCGAUGGGAUCGCUCAAUGAUGCCUUGUCCUUGGGGGUUGUAAGGAAUGCCAUGUUUAAGAGUGACCUCCAUUUGUUGACAAAAUGUCAUAAAAAUUUUGCUGGUAUAGGCAGGACCAUUGUCUGUUUUUAGUAUAUUGGGCUUUCCCCAAGCAGCCCAGGCUGCCAGGCAAUGAUUAAUAGCAUGGGUGGCCCUUUCUCCAGGUUCUGCCGAAGCAAACAUAACCUGAGAAGCGGUGUCAACCGAAACAUGUACAUAUUUUUCCGAAUUCUGGGAUGUGUGUUUGCCAAAUAUGAUUGGGGCGCAGUCCUCUCGGGUUAACACCAAUAGAUUGUUGAGGUGAAGAGAUCACACAGACCUGCCAAUGCCUCUAAAAGCGCCAUGGUAAAUGGUGCAUUGGGCCCAUAAGCUGAAACUGCGUCCUUGAUAGCUUUAAGUUGUUUAAUUUCUAAGGGCUCAUAAUAUCCUCCUCCUCCCCUGCCUCCUACUUGUACCGGGAAUGCAUGGAGACCGGAACACUCAAAGGGAAGCCGCGACCAUACCCUCUGGUGGAAGGAACGUCCUCCUCCCUCCCCAGAUGGGGGCGCAGAAGGCAACCCAGGAAGUAGCUCUCCCUCUAACCAGGGCGGUGCCAUAGUUUGUGGGCGCCCUCUGGCGGCCACGGGUGGAGGUGGCAGCCCAGGGAGCAACUCCUCUUCCGGCCACGGCGGUGCAGUAGGGCCUGGCACCCUGAAGGGGGCGACCAUGGGUCGCGAGCUUCGGAGCCCUUGUGUUUCUCUGGAGGCCCAAAGUCAGGUGUGACUUCGGGCUCCUCCGAGCACUCGGAUCAAGCUUUGUCAAGAGCCUGUCGGGCUGAGCAAAGCCCGGGGGUUUGUUCGUCCGUCAGACAAGCCCUAAUCAGUUCCCACAGGGGUAAAACCAUGGGAUCCAAGCGUCCCUCUUCUCGGGCACAUCUAAGAUCCCCUCCUAACUUCUCCCAUGACGGGAGGGUUAGAGAGCCCAUGGGCCAAAACCAGGGGGCAAUUUCAUUAACACGAUCCAGAAAUCUCGAAAGGGUGACCCGGUUUAUGUAGAUGCCUCGGGUCCGCAGCAGGACUCUUAGGGAGUCAGCGAGGGGUUUGCGAGCAGCGUUGCCCACAAUGGCGAAACGAAAGUGAAACAAAUGCAAAGAAAAAAAAAAAAAAGACCGGCGUCCACCCGUGUGGCGCUCAAAAUCUGUUAGGUGCGUCCACCCAACCCAGGCGAUCCAGUACUCACCUGUCCCGGGAACCGCUGUAUCUCACGUAGCUGAUCAGGGUGAAGAGAAGAGGCGCUCAAGGCCUUCCAUUGUUAUUGGGCCAGGUCCUCCGUCGUACCGCAGGCGACAGCAAUCGCACCUCCCGGCCGAAGAGGCACGUCGCUGAGUCUUUUACCUUUUUCCCCGUACGGGCCACCAGAUGACCGGAGCCGCGGGAGACAGGAGACCAAACUCGAGCAGGAUCAGCUCUCAAACUUUAUUGCGUACAGCGAACCGGACCUAACAAGGUCCGCCACCCUCAACGUUGGUUCCUCUUCUGCCCGUUGGGGGCAGGAACAACCUCUUAUAAGGGGAAGCAGUAUCCAAUCACAGAGAAGCACGUCUAACAAGCGGAUAGGCUAGCGUCACGGGUAACUGGGCAGACCUGACAAUUUGGCGGGCUUGUUCAGGCCGGGAAGAACCCGGAAGCAGGAAAUGGGCGCCAUCAUAGGCGGCUUCCCACAGAGCAGGAGGAGAGAGGGGUCCCCUGGACACAGGAAGGGUCUCAACUGAGACUUGAAGCUCAGGGAGGGAGAGAAUCCAGCAAUCCAGCAAAAAUAAGAACACCAUAUACAAUAUAGCAAAUAAGGGGAUUUCUUUGUACCAUCUUUUUGAAGGCAAAUAUUUUUACUACUGUUUUGCUUUAUUCUUAUUAAUGGUACUGUUCUAUUCAAUAUUCUGUUUUGAUAAGUUUUAUAAUGUUGUGUACUUCAUUUUAUUUUGCUAUACGUGAUUGAAACAACAAGUAUUGUGAAGAUAACAAGAUAUACUGUGGUACAUAUUGCUGUUAUCCCAGUAGCCUGCUGUAAAGUCCUGUAUCAGUUUCACUACACGGUCUCAAUUGGCUUUGCUCUGUCUUGUUCUGUUGUGUUUUACUACCUUCAAAAUAAUAAAUAAAUAAAAACUUUCAAA
Long non-coding RNA from Cavia porcellus (domestic guinea pig), 6181 nucleotides. RefSeq lists it as uncharacterized. The transcript has 4 exons. NCBI's taxonomy places the organism in Eukaryota, Metazoa, Chordata, Mammalia, Rodentia, Caviidae. The record is from RefSeq and is a predicted model, not a curated record.